RNAcentral lists this ribosomal RNA (473 nucleotides) under Yarrowia alimentaria. Its description in RNAcentral is "partial large subunit ribosomal RNA". It matches the Rfam family "Eukaryotic large subunit ribosomal RNA", at positions 96 to 657 of the family's 3401-position model. The record is from RNAcentral. Lineage: Eukaryota; Fungi; Ascomycota; Dipodascomycetes; Dipodascales.
AGCGGUAAAAAGCUCAAAUUUGAAACCCUCGGGAUUGUAAUUUGAAGAUUUGGCAUUGGGAAAAGCUAACCCAAGUUGCUUGGAAUAGUACGUCGUAGAGGGUGAGAACCCCGUGUGGCUAACCGUUUCCCAUGUAUUGCCUUAUCAAAGAGUCGAGUUGUUUGGGAAUGCAGCUCUAAGUGGGUGGUAAACUCCAUCUAAAGCUAAAUAUUGGCGAGAGACCGAUAGCGAACAAGUACUGUGAAGGAAAGAUGAAAAGAACUUUGAAAAGAGAGUGAAAUAGUAUGUGAAAUUGUUGAUAGGGAAGGGAAUGAGUGUAGCGUGGGUGAGGUUUCAAUUAUCUCUCGAGGUGAUGUACUGCCAAACCCGAGUCAAGGAGUGGGAAAAAGGGGUUAUAAAUGCAAACUCUCGAGUCUGCACCUAACCCCCGCCCUCCACUCCUCGACAUAAUACACCCAUUCCACCCGUCUUGA